GAUGAACGCUGGCGGCGUGCCUAAUACAUGCAAGUCGAGCGAACGGACGAGAAGCUUGCUUCUCUGAUGUUAGCGGCGGACGGGUGAGUAACACGUGGAUAACCUACCUAUAAGACUGGGAUAACUUCGGGAAACCGGAGCUAAUACCGGCUAAUAUUUUGAACCGCAUGGUUCAAAAGUUAAUGACGGUCUUGCUGUCACUUAUAGAUGGAUCCGCGCUGCAUUAGCUAGUUGGUAAGGUAACGGCUUACCAAGGCAACGAUGCAUAGCCGACCUGAGAGGGUGAUCGGCCACACUGGAACUGAGACACGGUCCAGACUCCUACGGGAGGCAGCAGUAGGGAAUCUUCCGCAAUGGGCGAAAGCCUGACGGAGCAACGCCGCGUGAGUGAUGAAGGUCUUCGGAUCGUAAAACUCUGUUAUUAGGGAAGAACAUAUGUGUAAGUAACUGUGCACAUCUUGACGGUACCUAAUCAGAAAGCCACGGCUAACUACGUG
RNAcentral lists this ribosomal RNA (497 nucleotides) under uncultured bacterium. RNAcentral describes it as "partial 16S ribosomal RNA". It matches the Rfam family "Bacterial small subunit ribosomal RNA", at positions 28 to 507 of the family's 1533-position model. The record is from RNAcentral.